GAUCUUUACAUUCAGAAGUA
RNAcentral lists this non-coding RNA (20 nucleotides) under Rattus norvegicus (Norway rat). Lineage: Eukaryota; Metazoa; Chordata; Mammalia; Rodentia; Muridae. The record is from RNAcentral.